CCUACGGGAGGCAGCAGUGGGGAAUUUUCCGCAAUGGGCGAAAGCCUGACGGAGCAAUACCGCGUGAGGGAUGAAGGCUCUUGGGUCGUAAACCUCUUUUCUCAAGGAAGAUAAUGACGGUACUUGAGGAAUCAGCAUCGGCUAACUCCGUGCCAGCAGCCGCGGUAAUACGGAGGAUGCAAGCGUUAUCCGGAAUGAUUGGGCGUAAAGCGUCCGCAGGUGGUUUUGUAAGUCUGCUGUUAAAGCGUCAUGCUCAACAUGAUUAAGGCGGUGGAAACUACAAGACUAGAGUGCGUUAGGGGUGAAGGGAAUUCCUGGUGUAGCGGUGAAAUGCGUAGAGAUCAGGAAGAACACCGGUGGCGAAGGCGCUUCACUAUGCCGCAACUGACACUGAGGGACGAAAGCUAGGGGAGCGAAUGGGAUUAGAUACCCCCAGUAGUCCUAGCCGUAAACGAUGACACUAGUGUGUNUGUAUCGACCGACGCAGUGCGUACGCACGACGUAGUGUCCGCCGUCGGGAGGUACGCACGCGAGUGUGAACACAAAUAGAAGUUAGUACGGCGUGAGACGUGCCGACGGACGACGACGAGGGAGGUUAGG
Molecule: ribosomal RNA, 600 nt
Filed under: uncultured bacterium
Lineage: Bacteria
Description: bacterial SSU rRNA
Rfam family: Bacterial small subunit ribosomal RNA (bases 1-513)
Source: RNAcentral